UACGUAGGGCGCAAGCGUUGUCCGGAAUUAUUGGGCGUAAAGAGCUCGUAGGCGGUCUGUUGCGUCAGGAGUGAAAACUCGGGGCUUAACCCCGAGCCUGCUUCUGAUACGGGCAGACUAGAGGUAUGCAGGGGAGAACGGAAUUCCUGGUGUAGCGGUGAAAUGCGCAGAUAUCAGGAGGAACACCGGUGGCGAAGGCGGUUCUCUGGGCAUUACCUGACGCUGAGGAGCGAAAGUGUGGGGAGCGAACAGG
Molecule: ribosomal RNA, 253 nt
Filed under: uncultured bacterium
Lineage: Bacteria
Description: partial 16S ribosomal RNA
Rfam family: Bacterial small subunit ribosomal RNA
Source: RNAcentral